GCGCAUGCGUGUUCUCAUCGCAGACACUGCAUGAAGUGCGUGGCGUGGCGUCCGGAAUGAGAAGGAAAGCGGCUCUGGUUCCUUCAGGAUGCGCUUCAGGGGGCACCGCGGCGGUUUGGGGACGACUUGGAGCCCCGUCCUAGGGAGAAAACAGCUCUUGUCUGUGGCCCUGACUGCUUAGGCGGGAGCUGCGUGCGGCUCAGCUUCUCCGGGGCAUUGUUUUCUACGCGAUAAGUCACUCUCACCCAAGCUGGAGCACCGUGGCACAUCACAGGACCAUGUAUAUUGGAAUAUUGGCUACCUACAGCUUUGCAGCACAAUUUGAUAUCAGGAAUUGUGGGUUGGCUACCAGUACCCCGGCUACCGCGGGCUGCAGUACCUGCUGGAGAAGGGAGACUACAAGGACAGCAGCGACUUCGGGGCACGUCACCCCCAGGUACAGUCCGUGUGCCACGUCCACGAUAUGCAGUGGUCCCAAUGUUGGCGCCUUCCACUCCUCCAACUAGUACCUUCCCCACCAUGCCUUCUUCCCAGGACCCAGGCCUGCUGCCCAGGAACCCUCCAGACCAACCAGAGAGUGAGUGAAGUAUGACUUGCAACUUGUCUGCUGUGGGUCUUUGAUCUCCCCUGGCAGCUGGGGGGGUGUGUGCGCACGCACGCACGCGCAUGCCUGUGUGUGUGUGUGAUAGAAAUAAGAAUUGGCAAGUAUCUGGGCUAGGAAUAGGGCAACAGAACCCUUAGGGAGUCUUAUGGUUCUCUGCAGCUGCUUAGUUCUUAACUGUGUGAGCUUGGACACAGUACCCAACCUCUCUGAGCCUUUGUUUCUUCACCUGACUUGCAAUUCCCUUGCCUCUUGAGUGACUGGCUGGUCUCGGGAUCCCUGAACAUUUGUGAUCUGCCUGCCUCAGCCUCCCAAAGUACUGGGAUUACAGACAUGAGCCAUUGCACCCGGCCAACCUUGAAGAAAUUAUUUCUAAUCCACAGUCACAAAGAAAUUCCCUAAUACAUUUUUCUCUAAACUUUUUAAACAUUUGCUCUUUACAUUUGCAUUCUUAAUCCUUCUGGAGCUGAUUCUUGUAUAUGGUGUAUGGUACAGAUUCAGUUUUUGGUUUUUUUUCUCUUUGGAAGUCCAGUGUCGAUUCUUGAAGGAGUCCAUUUGCUGCGCUGCGGCGCAGUCACCUUGCUGUCCUAUCCCCUUCCCCACAGGUGGGGUGAUUUUGUGGGCUUUUUCUGUUCCUGUAGUCUGUGUAUCCCUGCACUCUUGCCACAUUGUUAACGACUAUUGCUUUGUAGUCAGUGUUGAGGUCCCUAAAACGGGGGCCCUCAAACCCUGGGCCUCCCAGGGCCUGAAAUGGGGGUUGCACAGCAGGAGGUGGGCAUUACAGCCUGAGCUCCACCUCCUGUCAGACCAGCGGUGGUAUUAGAUUCUCAUAGGAGUACAAAUCCUAUUGUGUGAACUGCACGUGCAAAGGAUCUAGGUUGCAUGCUCCAAUGAGAAUCUAAUGUCCGCUGCCCACAGCCUGUGAAAAAUUGUCUUCCACAAAAUCGAUCCCUAGUGCCAAAACAUUUGGGGACCACUGCCCUAUAACAUGAUUCUCUUUAGGAAUGUUUUAGAUGUUCUUUCCCCUUUAGGACUCCAUUUAGAAGCGUCCCCUCACAUUUGGAAAAGUGGAAAACCUUGUCGAAUGAGCAAAAGUGGUUAAAAUGAUUAUCAUAAAGGUAGAAACCAGUGAGUGCUCCAUAUACACCGUAGAAUACUAUGCAGCCAUAAGAAAGAAUGAGUUCAUGUCCUUUGUGGGAACAUGGAUGAAGCUGGAAACCGUCAUUCUCAGCAAACUAACACAGGUACAGAAAACGAAACACCGCAUGUUCUCACUCAUAAGUGGGAGUUGAAAAACGAGAACACAUGGACACAGGGAGGGGAACAUCGCACACCCAGGCCUGUCGGGUUGGGGGGCAAGGAGAGAGCAUUAGGACAAAUACCAAAUGCAUGCAGGGCUUAAAACCUAGACGAUGGGUUGAUGGGUGCAGCAAACCACCAUGGUACAUGUAUACCGAUGUAAGAAACCUGCACGUUCUGCACACGUAUCCCAGAACUUAGAAAAAAACAGUUAAGUGCUCAAUAAAUGUUACUGUUAUCUAUAUCUUCAUUCUUCAACCAAUACCUACUGCGUGCCUAUUUGGAUACUUGGCUUAGCACCUGGGUGAUGAAAUAAUCUACAACAAAUCCCCAUGACACGAGUUUAUAACAAACCUGCACAUGUACCCCCGAACCUAAAAUAAAAGUUAAAAAAACAGAAUCCACACAAGUCUAAGCUACUUCUUUGAGGAAAAGACUCCAACUGAGAUCUCAAGGAAAAGUAGAGGUUGCAGGGCUAAAGAGGCUAAAGAAGAGCGUCCCAGAUGAGAGUGGCAUGUGAAAGGCCCUGUGGUGGGAGGAGCCUGGUAGCUCUGAGAAACUCCACAAAGGCACGGUGGUGGCUGGAAUGCAGAGAUGUGGGGGCACAUGGAAAACCUUGUUAAAGUGGUUAAAAUGAUUAUCAUAAAGGUGGAAACUAAUAAAUGGCUAAAUAAAUGUUA
Molecule: long non-coding RNA, 2580 nt
Organism: Chlorocebus sabaeus (green monkey)
Lineage: Eukaryota; Metazoa; Chordata; Mammalia; Primates; Cercopithecidae
Source: RefSeq, a predicted model, not a curated record